This 330-nucleotide ribosomal RNA is filed under the name uncultured bacterium. Its description in RNAcentral is "bacterial SSU rRNA". It matches the Rfam family "Bacterial small subunit ribosomal RNA", at positions 32 to 353 of the family's 1533-position model. The record is from RNAcentral.
AAUCAACGCUGGCGGCGUGCCUCAGACAUGCAAGUCGAACGCGAAAGUUUCCUUCGGGAAGCGAGUAGAGUGGCGCACGGGUGAGUAACACGUAAGUAAUCUACCCUUGGGUGGGGAAUAACAUCGGGAAACCGAUGCUAAUACCGCAUAAUGCAGCGGCUUCAUAUGAAGACAGUUGUUAAAGCAUUUAUGUGCCUGAGGAGGAGCUUGCGGCAGAUUAGCUAGUUGGUAAGGUAAUGGCUUACCAAGGCGACGAUCUGUAGCCGACCUGAGAGGGUGGUCGGUCACACUGACACUGAAUAACGGGUCAGACUCCUACGGGAGGCAGCA